This 1381-nucleotide ribosomal RNA is filed under the name uncultured Gammaproteobacteria bacterium. Its description in RNAcentral is "bacterial SSU rRNA". It matches the Rfam family "Bacterial small subunit ribosomal RNA", at positions 27 to 1393 of the family's 1533-position model. Lineage: Bacteria; Pseudomonadati; Pseudomonadota; Gammaproteobacteria. The record is from RNAcentral.
GAUUGAACGCUGGCGGCAGGCCUAACACAUGCAAGUCGAACGGUAACAGGAAGAAGCUUGCUUCUUUGCUGACGAGUGGCGGACGGGUGAGUAAUGUCUGGGAAACUGCCUGAUGGAGGGGGAUAACUACUGGAAACGGUAGCUAAUACCGCAUAACGUCGCAAGACCAAAGAGGGGGACCUUAGGGCCUCUUGCCAUCGGAUGUGCCCAGAUGGGAUUAGCUAGUAGGUGGGGUAAAGGCUCACCUAGGCGACGAUCCCUAGCUGGUCUGAGAGGAUGACCAGCCACACUGGAACUGAGACACGGUCCAGACUCCUACGGGAGGCAGCAGUGGGGAAUAUUGCACAAUGGGCGCAAGCCUGAUGCAGCCAUGCCGCGUGUAUGAAGAAGGCCUUCGGGUUGUAAAGUACUUUCAGCGGGGAGGAAGGUGUUGUGGUUAAUAACCACAGCAAUUGACGUUACCCGCAGAAGAAGCACCGGCUAACUCCGUGCCAGCAGCCGCGGUAAUACGGAGGGUGCAAGCGUUAAUCGGAAUUACUGGGCGUAAAGCGCACGCAGGCGGUCUGUCAAGUCGGAUGUGAAAUCCCCGGGCUCAACCUGGGAACUGCAUUCGAAACUGGCAGGCUUGAGUCUCGUAGAGGGGGGUAGAAUUCCAGGUGUAGCGGUGAAAUGCGUAGAGAUCUGGAGGAAUACCGGUGGCCGAAGGCGGCCCCCUGGACGAAGACUGACGCUCCAGGUUGCGAAAGCGGUGGGGGAGCAAACAGGAUUAGAUACCUGGUAGUCCACGCCGUAAACGAUGUCUAUUUGGAGGUUGUGCCCUUGAGGUGUGGCUUCCGGGAGCUAACGCGUUAAAUAGACCGCGUGGGGAGUACGGCCGCAAGGUUAAAACUCAAAUGAAUUGACGGGGGCCCGCACAAGCGGUGGAGCAUGUGGUUUAAUUCGAUGCAACGCGAAGAACCUUACCUGGUCUUGACAUCCACAGAACUUUCCAGAGAUGGAGGGGUGCCUUCGGGAACUGUGAGACAGGUGCUGCAUGGCUGUCGUCAGCUCGUGUUGUGAAAUGUUGGGUUAAGUCCCGCAACGAGCGCAACCCUUAUCCUUUGUUGCCAGCGGUUAGGCCGGGAACUCAAAGGAGACUGCCAGUGAUAAACUGGAGGAAGGUGGGGAUGACGUCAAGUCAUCAUGGCCCUUACGACCAGGGCUACACACGUGCUACAAUGGCGCAUACAAAGAGAAGCGAACUCGCGAGAGCAAGCGGACCUCAUAAAGUGCGUCGUAGUCCGGACUGGAGUCUGCAACUCGACUCCAUGAAGUCGGAAUCGCUAGUAAUCGUGGAUCAGAAUGCCACGGUGAAUACGUUCCCGGGCCUUGCACACACCGC